This 408-nucleotide ribosomal RNA is filed under the name uncultured bacterium. Its description in RNAcentral is "bacterial SSU rRNA". It matches the Rfam family "Bacterial small subunit ribosomal RNA", at positions 917 to 1344 of the family's 1533-position model. The record is from RNAcentral.
GGGCCCGCACAAGCGGUGGAGUAUGUGGUUUAAUUCGAUGCAACGCGAAGAACCUUACCAGGGUUUGACAUCCUGUGCUACAUUCAGAGAUGAAUGGUUCCCUUCGGGGACGCAGUGACAGGUGCUGCAUGGCUGUCGUCAGCUCGUGUCGUGAGAUGUUCGGUUAAGUCCGGCAACGAGCGCAACCCACAUCCCUAGUUGCCAGCAGUUCGGCUGGGCACUCUAUGGAAACUGCCCGUGAUAAGCGGAGGAAGGUGUGGAUGACGUCAAGUCCUCAUGGCCCUUACCGGGUUGGGUCGUACACACGUGCUACAAUGGCAUCUACAGUGGGUUAAUCCCAAAACGAAUGUCUCAGUUCGGAUUGUCGUCUGCAACUCGACGGCAUGAAGUCGGAAUCGCUAGUAAUCG